Molecule: ribosomal RNA, 253 nt
Filed under: uncultured bacterium
Lineage: Bacteria
Description: partial 16S ribosomal RNA
Rfam family: Bacterial small subunit ribosomal RNA
Source: RNAcentral
UACGUAGGGUCCGAGCGUUAAUCGGAAUUACUGGGCGUAAAGCGUGCGCAGGCGGUAAGUUAAGUCUGAUGUGAAAGCCCCGGGCUCAACCUGGGAAUGGCAUUGGAAACUGGCUUGCUGGAGUGUGGCAGAGGGGGGUGGAAUUCCGCGUGUAGCAGUGAAAUGCGUAGAGAUGCGGAGGAACACCGAUGGCGAAGGCAGCCCCCUGGGCCAACACUGACGCUCAGGCACGAAAGCGUGGGGAGCAAACAGG